RNAcentral lists this long non-coding RNA (405 nucleotides) under Brassica rapa (field mustard). RNAcentral's name for it is "long non-coding RNA (BRAP_LNC003452)". The record is from RNAcentral. Lineage: Eukaryota; Viridiplantae; Streptophyta; Magnoliopsida; Brassicales; Brassicaceae.
ACUACAAGAAAUAUGGGUUUUGAUAGCAGUAGAGGAUAGCGUUUUUUGCCUUUCUGCUAUGGUUGACAUACCCUUUAGUUUUAGAUAGCGUUUAUAUAUUUUGAAACGCUAUGAAAAGAUGAUAUAUUUAAAAACGCUAUGAUAGCAUAUUUUUAAUAGCACAAAAUUAAAAACGCUAUGUUUGUCUUUUUAAAUCCCUAAAACGAAUUUUUAAACCCCAAAAUCUAAACACAAACUUUAAACUCUAAUAUUCUAACAUUAAAUCUUAAAUUUAACUUAAAAUAUUAAAUAUAAAAUUAAAGUUAUUUCUUUUUAAAAAUUAAUUGCAAAUAUCAAUACCCUAAACCUUUAACCAUAUACUCAACCUCUAUUCUAAACUCAUAACUUUAAAUUUAAACUCUAAAU